AACGAACGCUGGCGGCAGGCUUAACACAUGCAAGUCGAGCGCCCCGCAAGGGGAGCGGCAGACGGGUGAGUAACGCGUGGGAAUCUACCGUGCCCUACGGAAUAGCUCCGGGAAACUGGAAUUAAUACCGUAUACGCCCUACGGGGGAAAGAUUUAUCGGGGUAUGAUGAGCCCGCGUUGGAUUAGCUAGUUGGUGGGGUAAAGGCCUACCAAGGCGACGAUCCAUAGCUGGUCUGAGAGGAUGAUCAGCCACAUUGGGACUGAGACACGGCCAAACCUCCUACGGGAGGAAGCGGUGGGGAAUAUGGGACAAGGGGCGCAAGCCUGAUCCAGCAAUGCCGCGUGAGUGAUGAAGGUCUUAGGAUUGUAAAGCUCUUCCACCGGUGAAGAUAAUGACGGUAACCGGAGAAGAAGCCCCGGCUAACUUCAUGCCAGCCGCCGCCGUAA
This 447-nucleotide ribosomal RNA is filed under the name uncultured bacterium. RNAcentral's name for it is "partial 16S ribosomal RNA". It matches the Rfam family "Bacterial small subunit ribosomal RNA", at positions 29 to 523 of the family's 1533-position model. The record is from RNAcentral.